Molecule: long non-coding RNA, 284 nt
Organism: Malurus melanocephalus (red-backed fairy wren)
Lineage: Eukaryota; Metazoa; Chordata; Aves; Passeriformes; Maluridae
Exons: 3
Source: RefSeq, a predicted model, not a curated record
CGCGCUCCGGCCGUUCCUAGCGGCGGCGGCGGCGGGGCAGGAUGAAGGACCGGACCGGGGAGCUGCGCGCUGCAAAGGACAGUGACGAUGAUGAUGAAGUCACCGUCAGCGUGGACCGGGAUCGCUUCAUGGAUGAGUUCUUCGAGCAGGUGGAAGAAAUUCGAGGAUUCAUCGAUAAAAUUUCAGAGAAUGUGGAGGAAGUGAAGAGGAAGCACAGUGCCAUUCUCGCCUCACCCAACCCUGAUGAGAGUGAGUAAGCUGAAAGCUCUGUGUGCCCUGCAGGC